CAAGGUCAAUCCUUGUCGGACACAAAAAAAUAAAAAAAAAAUAUAUUUUGUUUCUUUAGAAUUUUAUUUUUAGGGAUAGUUAAACAUUUUGCUAACCACAUCGAAUUCGCAUUUUUAAUUAAAGGUACUACCUUAGGGCAGGCGUUGUAGGGUGUUAAUACCUUCCAUACACGUAAUCGACUCCCGGACCUAAAAUCUGAUUCCCGCAGACCAUGUCUAAUCAUUUUAUGAUUUUUCCGUAGUUUUCCAGAAUAAACUAUGGUGGCGACUCCAAACUCUUUUUUCAAAUUCGUUUCUUUUUUAGAUCGUCGUCCCGUCACGAAAUCGUUUGCGACAGAUGGCGACUUCACUAGGGAUAAUUUUGAGGGUCAAGCCAUUUAAUUAGAUGCGCGAAUUCGAUAUGGUUUUGAUUUAUGUUUUUUCUUUCCUUUUUACUUUUUCUUAUUUUUUAUUUUUAUCUAUGUUUCAUAUUUCAAACAAUUGCUUGCGAAUUGUUUUGAUAUUGAACCCUAGGGUAGAGAACAUGUUUAUAUCUGCCUGGGAUUUUUUUGGUUGUUUUGCAGGUGAGGGUUUGGGUAUGCAUUGCAUUCUCCCUUCACCACACACUUUAUGCAUAUCAUGAGUGGGGCCCUAUACCCGGGUCUGAGUGCAACUUAGAAAUAGAGGGGUUGUGUAGCAGUGCCAUUUGGGACAUACUUCUUGUUUGGCUAUCGUGAGAGCCCCAGCUAGAGUCUAUUCUCUUCACUUGUGUCUCAGCAUCUAGUUGAUUACUCGACUGUUGUGGAGAUGCUAUGAAGGGGGCCAUAGCUCUAGUGACCAUUGACCUCUAGGUUCAGGGAACCAUCCUUGUGAGAUUGCAUAUAUUUGACUUUGAAUCUGAAAUGUUGAACCUUCUUUAGGGCACAAAGGGAGAUGUGUGCAGUCCUAUAACCGUCAUUUUCGCUUAAUAAAAUCACGCAUCUUUCAUAUAUCUUG
RNAcentral lists this long non-coding RNA (975 nucleotides) under Vigna radiata. RNAcentral's name for it is "long non-coding RNA (VRAD_LNC012998)". Lineage: Eukaryota; Viridiplantae; Streptophyta; Magnoliopsida; Fabales; Fabaceae. The record is from RNAcentral.